Molecule: non-coding RNA, 3599 nt
Organism: Manis javanica (Malayan pangolin)
Lineage: Eukaryota; Metazoa; Chordata; Mammalia; Pholidota; Manidae
Source: RefSeq, a predicted model, not a curated record
UCCCUUUUCCCCUAGGCUGCGCAGGGCCACCCUCUGCACACCCCCUGGGGUACCCUUGCCUGUGGGCCUCCAGGUGGGCUUGGCCAGUGCCGUGCCCGCGGGACAGUGGGAGCAGAUGGUGAGCGUCUCUUGCUGCCUCCCUGCUGGGCUCUGUCUUGGGGCUUCUGCUCCCCCAGCCCCGACGUGGCUGGCUGCCAAGCUGUGCGUCCCUGGGAGCUUGCCCUCCACGUGAGCCGUCUGGGUGAGUGGAGUUCCUGUAGGACUGGACAGGAAGCGCCCGGCCUGCCUGGGGUGGUAGCUGUGGUGGGUGGGCUGGGCCUGGGAGAAGGGGCGGUCCAGGGCGAGAUGACACUUCUGCUUUUAUACUCCUUAGUCAAAACUUGCCCAUUUGGGCGAGGCCUGGGGCGCCUGGUCUGCGCUGAGGACAGGCCUUAUGCGGCAGUCACAGCCCUGGGCGGGCUCUGUGCCUGGCUGCCGACUGGAUGCCGAGGAGGGGUCUCUGCGGAGCCUGCCCUGGGGCCAUGCCUCAGGGCUCCUGUGACGGCAGCGGGUAGGGUUCUGACCCCCACGCCCUGGCUCCUGCUGCCUGGCUGUGCUUCCCUUUGACUUAGAGAAGGAGCCCACAGCAGAGUGAGCGCCGUGCCCUGGGGGCCCCACAGGAAGGCUGCCUGAAGUUCCCCAGCGGACCGUGAUGAGGGCCUGACAAAGCAGAGGCUUCUAAGUCCCGUUGGCAGCCUGCUGGGUGACCCUGUGUCCGGUGGAUCCAGUGCCAGCAGGUGGUCUGCCGGGUGGCCCUGCUCUGGCCAGCGGUCUGCAGUAAGGUAGGACUUUCCUACGGUGCCAUGUUGAACAGCUUCUGGAUUCCUAGGCAUACAUCUCAGAGUAUUGAGGUCAGCAUCAUGGAUCCCACGCCCCAGCCCUGGAGGCUGCCACACGAUGCUGCAGAGACGGCUGCACAUACUUUGCACAGAAUCCGCUCGCCCUCCGCACAGGGCAGGUGCAGUGACCAGCCCACUUCACGGGAGAGGGAAGGAAAGCAGAGUGUGUGCAGGGACCCCAGCAGGUGCAGGCAGGGUGAGGAUUCUGCUCGGGGGGCGCUGGCCUUCAGCACUGCUAUCUGAGCAGACUCCAAUCCUGGCGGGGGGACGGCUGGGGCUAGUAUGUGGGUGUGCAUUUUGACCCUCCAGGAGUGUAAUGUGCGUGGUCUUCCCCAAAUCACUGGGUUCAGUCAACACUUCCCUGGAUGCCCAGCACAAUGACCUCUGGAUGGCUUUAGGACACGCCACCUGGACCUGCUGCAUGAAGUCUGGAAGUGUGGAGCCUGCAACACAGCCUGAGCGCCGAGCUCAGAACACACCAGGAGAGCCCUUCCACCUGCCAGCUGUGCAGCUGUGGACGCGUCACCUCCCCCAGAGCCCCAGUGCCUUCCCAAGGGCGCGACAGGCCACACAGCCCACGGCAGCCAGCAGGGUGGGGAAAGCUGGCCCGUGCGGGGCGCCUGAACCGGGGCACUGCCUUCCUUUCCUCUAACUGCUGUCCUCCCCGUUGGCUGCCUGCCGAUGAUGGCAGCUGCCCCUGCACCCAGGCAUCAGCCUGGACCAUCCCUGGCAAACAGAACACUUGAAACAGAAGAACACCUGGGGCGUGUUUGGUGCUCUCCCGUCAGCUGCUGGGCCCUGCCGUGCCCUCCACGUGUCCUCCACGUGUCCUCCACGUGCCCCGCUGCUCUGGAGGCUGGUGCCGACCGCUCGCUCGGGCGGCGGCUAGUCGUGGCUUUCUUACAUUGGAUGUGCCCCUGGAUGGGCUCGCAGGGCCCAGUCCUUACCUCCUGACCACCACGGCGAGCCUGCUGUCCUCCAGCGCCCUCUGCGCACUGAACGCUGGGUCUGUCUGUCUGUCAGGCUCUGGAUGGCUAGAGGUGGACGCUCUUUAUCCCUCUGCUUGUGUUCUCAGCUGAAGCUGCCAUUUUUCUCUCUGUGCCGUGGAGUGGCAUUUGAGGCAAGGAGCCCUCCAUCCUGCUUAGAGUCCAAGCCGAGAGGGGGUGUCCCACUCCUGUGAACAUGGCUCCGAUGGUCCCCUUGAUGAAAGUUGAGCUUGUAUGGGGGCUGGGAGCAGACAUGCAGGGUCCCCCCCGAGUCCCAGGAGGACUAUGGCUGGACUGUCUGCGGACGGCCACUGGAGGACCACUUAGGGUGAGCCCCUGUUCGUCUCACAGUACCCACUUCUUGUUCUCAUCCUUCUGAACGGACCUCCCAACCCAGAUUCCAGAAGGAACCAUUCUGACCGCUCUAGCAGGUGUCUACCUGGAGUGGUUAAAACCUCAAGGAAUUUAAGAUUGGGACACCUGCAACCUAGCUCCGCACUCUAACAAGAGCAAACUAGCUUCUUUUGGGUCACUUUGUCAGGUCAUUUCAAGUACGUAUCAAAAAACUAUAUCGAAAAAAAUUUGGAAAAAUUUCAAACUCUACCUUUUCCUGUAAUAGCAGUUGUCCUACUGGGUGAUGGGAGAGACCCAGGCCUGUACCUCUGCUCACCCCAGAGUGGUCAGCUUUGCCACAUGACAUCACCUUGAUGCGUGGGGAACAAUUGGAGGGAACCGUUCCUGGUGCCUCGCUGGCUGCAGCGGAGAAGGGGUUGUGGAGGGUCCUGGGAAGGAGGCAGGGGUGGUCGGGGGGGCCUGAUGUGUCUUGGGCUGAGAAACUCCACCUUUUCCUGUAAUAGCAGUUGCCCUACUGGGUGCUAAAAGUGCCAGGCUGUGUAGAGGUGCCUCUUGUAUAUGGAAAAAGCUUGAGUUGAAUUACUUUUUCAUAAAGUAUUUUAAGCAAUUAAAAACUGACUCAAAUGUAUGGUGUACCAUUUAUGGGCCUUUAUUCCCAAGCAAGAAGAGUUGACUGCAAAUUAACUCCAUGGCUGCUGGUUAAAAAAAACAAUAAAUCCCCUCUCAAACCAAGGACUGUGUGGUGCUUUGGUAACUCCGAUGGACAGAAGACACGUCUGUUAGGACACACUGAUUAUAUGAUUUUUAUCUGUUAUAAAGUUGGUGCUUUAGGAAAGGAAAGGAGACUCUAGGAAGGAAGAUGGGGAGCAGGAGCCUAGCCAUAGGGCCACUGCCGUGGUGAGGGGUGGUCAUGGCUCAUACGGGGCGGGGGUGACAUGAAGGUAUCAUGUGAGCAAAGUUUGGUUCAGAGCCCCUGGUCCUAGCCGAUGGCCUGGGUGUGGGAGGCUCGGGUGGAAAAGAGAGAAAACCAGGGUGACUUCUGGGAUUUUGGCUUGAGCAACUGGCUGGAUUCUGGCAGCAGCUGCUGAGGUGGAGUUUGGGACACAAGUUACGCUACUGAGUGCUGAUGAAGGAGGUGACUACGCAUACGUGCCAGGUGCACCGUCAGGGUGGUCCCAGAGGUGAUGGUGAGGACUGGUGGAGAUAGGAUGCACAAUAAGCCUGAUAAGGAAUUAGAGGAACAGACCGUAAGGGCAGGCUCCGUGCAACUGCUGCUACAAACUGAAAGACCCCUGACUGUUUACUGAGAGUGGAAUGAUGGGUAAUAACGUAGCUUUAAUUCCCUGUCAGUGGAGCUCAAAAUCCACUGCCGCUUUGCAGA